UACGGAGGGUGCGAGCGUUGUCCGGAAUCACUGGGCGUAAAGCGUGUGUAGGCGGUUAGGCAAGUCCGCUGUGAAAGUCGGGGGCUCAACCCUCGGAUGCCGGUGGAUACUGUCGGGCUUGAGUACGGAAGAGGCGAGUGGAAUUCCUGGUGUAGCGGUGAAAUGCGCAGAUAUCAGGAGGAAUACCGAUGGCGAAGGCAGGUCUCUGGGCUGACACUGACGCUCAUACACGAAAGCGUGGGGAGCAAACAGG
RNAcentral lists this ribosomal RNA (253 nucleotides) under uncultured bacterium. RNAcentral's name for it is "partial 16S ribosomal RNA". It matches the Rfam family "Bacterial small subunit ribosomal RNA", at positions 524 to 776 of the family's 1533-position model. The record is from RNAcentral.